Molecule: ribosomal RNA, 1325 nt
Filed under: metagenome
Description: bacterial LSU rRNA
Rfam family: Bacterial large subunit ribosomal RNA
Source: RNAcentral
AGUGGAUGGGGAGCAACCUAGUUGUGCGUGUGUAAAGGUAGUGCCAAGAAAAGCGAUGAUCAUGUUGAAAAUCAAUUCCCGGUACCCGAAACCGACACAGGUGGGCAAGUAGAGAAUACUAAGGGGCGCGAGGUAACUCUCUCCAAGGAACUCGGCAAAAUGACCCCGUAACUUAGGGAGAAGGGGUGCCACCGAGAGGUGGUCGCAGUGAAGAGGCCCAGGCGACUGUUUAGCAAAAACAUAGGUCUCUGCAAACUCGAAAGAGGAGGUAUAGGGGCUGACGCCUGCCCAGUGCCGGAAGGUUAAAGGAGUUGGUCAGUUUUAGGAUGAAGCUAGCGACUGAAGCCCCGGUGAACGGCGGCCGUAACUAUAACGGUCCUAAGGUAGCGAAAUUCCUUGUCGGGUAAGUUCCGACCCGCACGAAAGGCGUAACGAUCUGGGCGCUGUCUCGGAGAGAGGCUCGGCGAAAUAGGAUUGUCUGUGAAGAUACGGACUACCUGCAUUUGGACAGAAAGACCCUAUGAAGCUUUACUAUAGCUUGGAAUUGUGUUCGGGCUUCCUGUGCGCAGGAUAGGUGGGAGGCGUAGAAGGUAUCCUUGUGGGGAUACUGGAGCCAACGGUGAGAUACCACUCUCAGGAGGCUAGAAUUCUAACUUAAUUAAGGACAGUUUCAGGUGGGUAGUUUGACUGGGGCGGUCGCCUCCAAAAAGGUAACGGAGGCGUACAAAGGUUCCCUCAGACUGGUUGGAAAUCAGUCGAAGAGUGCAAAGGCAGAAGGGAGCUUGACUGCGAGAAGUACAGUUCGAGCAGGGUGGAAACACGGUCUUAGUGAUCCGACGGUGCUGUGUGGAAGGGCCGUCGCUCAACGGAUAAAAGUUACUCUAGGAUAACAGGCUGAUCUCCCCCAAGAGUUCACAUCGACGGGGAGGUUUGGCACCUCGAUGUCGGCUCAUCGCAACCUGGGGCGGAAGUACGUCCCAAGGGUUGGGCUGUUCGCCCAUUAAAGCGGUACGUGAGCUGGGUUCAGAACGUCGUGAGACAGUUCGGUCCAUAUCCGAUGUAGGCGUGAGAAUAUUGAGAGGAGCCUUCCUUAGUACGAGAGGACCGGGAAGGACGCACCGCUGGUGUACCUGUUAUGAUGCCAAUUGUAAACGCAGGGUAGCCAAGUGCGGAGAGGAUAACCGCUGAAAGCAUCUUAGUGGGAAGCCCACCUCAAGAUGAGUAUUCUGGUGUAAGGUCACGGGAAGACGACCCGUAAAUAGGCACGAGGUGGAAGUGCAGAGAUGUAUGAAGCCGAAGUGUACUAAUAGACCGUCGGCUUGACC